UUGCUGUGAUUUCCAUUUUUGCGGUUUUUUAUCAUGAAAACUUCAGUGUGCUUCUUAAUAUUGAGCAUGCAAUAGAUCCUUAAGCCAAUGCUGACCUUUGUCCAUGAAGGAAGAGGGACAUCCAGCAACGUUCUGCUCCAUCCUUAUCUUCCCGACGUACGCUCAUCUAGCUUCACUGCUUUUGCUGCUACAACUUGUCUUACUUCACCGACGAGUUGGAACACUUCAUUGGUCGCUACCCUUUGCUGUUACACACCUGCAGUUACUCACCACGGGAUUAUGCCCAGGUAAUGCAGAAGAGACGUCGAGAAGAUGGACACCAUAACGU
Daphnia pulicaria is the source of this 328-nucleotide long non-coding RNA. RefSeq lists it as uncharacterized. The record is from RefSeq and is a predicted model, not a curated record. Lineage: Eukaryota; Metazoa; Arthropoda; Branchiopoda; Diplostraca; Daphniidae. The transcript has 3 exons.